Syzygium oleosum is the source of this 1877-nucleotide long non-coding RNA. RefSeq lists it as uncharacterized. Lineage: Eukaryota; Viridiplantae; Streptophyta; Magnoliopsida; Myrtales; Myrtaceae. The transcript has 2 exons. The record is from RefSeq and is a predicted model, not a curated record.
UUUGUUUUUGGUAUGAAAAAAGGGUCUAAUAUGCAUGGAAAUAAUUUCUAACACGUAUGUGCAAGUUCUCCAUACCACAACUAUGAAGAAUCUUAUGUUUAAGAAAUCCAACUAGCUAUUAGCUUGCAUAUUAUCUCAUCCAUGACAAUUAAUUGGGUAUUUCAUGAGAUCGAGGUUUACCUAAAACGAAUAUCCUUGCUCGUUAUAGAGGCAAGGUUUUACUGCAAUCGACGAGCAGUGGCAUUACCUAUACCAACUGAAAAACACUCACUUUUCAAACACCUUAAUCUAACCCAAUCCUGGCCAAACAACACCAAACAAAUCUCUCUUUCUCUCUCUCUUUCCCCAAAGACGCGUCACCCUCAUCGACUGGGCCAGAUAAGGAGAGAGAGAGAGAGAGAGAGAGACCACGAGUAAAUGAUAAGACCCUAGGAGAGGGGUGGGCGAGAGCGAAAAAGAACUACGGCCACAUUCUUUUCUUUUUCUUUUUGUGGGUGAGUGAUCGUUAGGUUUUAAAUAAGUGGUACCUAUAUGUCCUAAUCGUAGCUUUCGUGCUACGGUCCAGCUGCUACAAAAACUUUUCCUUGCAAACGAGUAUACACAAUCUUAAGGACAUUGAGAAUAUGUUUUGAGUUUGAGUACGUAAAAAAAAUUUGAUAAGUAAGUUUUCUAAUUUGAAUAGAUCUUUUACAAGGGGUUUCCUAUUUGUGAACCAAAUAUUAUAUAUAUAAGUGUGUAUAUAUAACAGGUGCUAGUGCGGUAAUCACCACAGACAAUAUAUGUAGUGAGGUGGAGCCUAUAAAGUCCAUGAUUGCUGAGUUUGACAAGUUAUGCGUUCGAUUUUUUUGAUAGAUAUGGAUGCAAUGACAGUUUUGUUUUAUUUGUGAUAGAGGAGGUUAACACAGAUGGUGAAUUUUUUUAUUGUAGCUGCUAAGUUUAACACGUGGUGAAUCUUGAAAUUCUGCAGUAAUAAUGGAGAAAAUGAAGUUUUAGGAGCCAUCAUUUUCUAAACUGAAUUAGCUUUGCCAAAGAAGCUGGUCAAUAAUGCAAUGGAAGUUUUAGUUAAAAAUGAAAAAAAAUCUAUAACUUGUAUAAAAUGACAAAAGCAAACUAUUCCAUGGAGUCUUUGUCACGAGCCUAAUUUUUUGCCCCUAUUCAGUGACAAGUUCUAAUUGGUCAUGAUUCACGAGGCAAAAAAUUAGGCUCGUGACAAAGACACCAUGGAAUAGUUUGCUUGUCAUUUUAUACAAGUUACAGAUUCUGGAGCAUUAUUGAGUGAUGAUGGGUCCAUCCUAGCAUAUCCAGGGACAUAACAAUCUUUGACAUGCUACUUCAGAGUUAUCAAUGCAUCCAUCUCUUAGCCCACCGCAGAAAAUUAUUAGAUAUAUCAGAAAAAGAGAAGAUGAUGAGGAACAUGAACAAAUUCUUCUUCCCUGGUAACACGAGAAUCCGAAUCUUCGACUUGACUAAUUUCAGUCUCUGUCCAUGUUUAAGACGCUGUUCACUUGGGUGGCCUCCAAAGUUUUACCUAAAUGCGAGAUGUCGUGAUUUGGAUACCAGAUUUGCCAUAUAACAUGAAGCACUUGACCACUCAACUAAUCCUAUGGAAUCUGACUGAACAACUUCAAUCCAUCAGACGCGCAAGCUCUUCAGCUAUUUUGGUUUCGGUUUGUUAGUUUUGAAUAGUAGAUCUAUAUUUACCCAUAAAUCUGGCAAGCUUGAAACAUAGCAAUAGAAACUACACGAUUCUUAUGUUAGGAUAGCAUUAUUUUGGAUCAUCUUGAUGUCAGGCAAACAAUUUUAAAUGCCCGGAGAAAAUCAGCAAAGUGCGGAUUCAAUUUGAUAGAGCAAAACAAUUAGUAACACAUCAGAUAAAA